GGGCCAUUAGCUCAUCCGGUAGAGCGACUGACUCUUAAUCAGUAGGUGGCAGGUUCGAGUCCUGCAUGGCCCA
This 73-nucleotide transfer RNA is filed under the name Candidatus Omnitrophota bacterium. RNAcentral's name for it is "Candidatus Omnitrophica bacterium (groundwater metagenome) tRNA-Lys". It matches the Rfam family "tRNA". From Rfam's summary of the family: Transfer RNA (tRNA) molecules are approximately 80 nucleotides in length. Their secondary structure includes four short double-helical elements and three loops (D, anti-codon, and T loops). Further hydrogen bonds mediate the characteristic L-shaped molecular structure. tRNAs have two regions of fundamental functional importance: the anti-codon, which is responsible for specific mRNA codon recognition, and the 3' end, to which the tRNAs corresponding amino acid is attached (by aminoacyl-tRNA synthetases). tRNAs cope with the degeneracy of the genetic code in two manners: having more than one tRNA (with a specific anti-codon) for a particular amino acid; and 'wobble' base-pairing, i.e. permitting non-standard base-pairing at the 3rd anti-codon position. The record is from RNAcentral. Lineage: Bacteria; Pseudomonadati; Candidatus Omnitrophota.